This 528-nucleotide long non-coding RNA is filed under the name Phasianus colchicus (ring-necked pheasant). RNAcentral describes it as "lncRNA (ENSPCLG00000005519.1)". Lineage: Eukaryota; Metazoa; Chordata; Aves; Galliformes; Phasianidae. The record is from RNAcentral.
AGAUGAGAUUUUCAGCGUUGGUUACCUCAGGCUUCAUGUCCCUUGUCUUCCCAGGGUAAUAGGUUCAAUGAACUGCCUUUGUACCUUGACUGCCAUAGGCCUUGAUACAGACAUUAUUUUCCAUCUGAUAACUUCUGCCUUUCACGUACUUCGGACUAUAUGCUACUUGCACAUUGACUUCUCCUGAUGCUGUCAGAGACAUACGGGAUUGUCUGAACCAAGAGAAUGUCAGCAGUUUUUGUCACCAUGAAAUGCCUCCAAAUGAUAGGAUACACACCUGGCAUACAGCCUGAAGGAAUCAUAAAUCUAAAGGGAAAGGCAAGUCUGGUAUUUGUAUCACUGGAAACAUCAAUUUCCUACAGAGGAACAAUUGGAUUAUAUGAAGCAGACUGAGGAACUAAUCAACAUGCUGAUUCAAUUGAACAUUCAAAAGUGAUGUGUCUGUUUCCUUUGUCACGAGUUAACAUGUUUUUUCAUAUGGAUAUAGUUCAGCUGUGUUGCUAGAAACAUUUUAACCAGUAUUUUAUA